GCCGGUGUAAGACCUCAACGGAGAUCCUUCCGGGCGGGCUACCGGCGGUGAAGCAGGAACUCUCACGGGCGACCGUGGGAAUCCCCUCCCCUCAGGGAGAGGAGGAGGUCAAGCGGAGAUCUUC
This 124-nucleotide small RNA is filed under the name Streptosporangium canum. RNAcentral describes it as "HgcC family RNA". Lineage: Bacteria; Bacillati; Actinomycetota; Actinomycetes; Streptosporangiales; Streptosporangiaceae. The record is from RNAcentral.